This is a long non-coding RNA of Bos indicus x Bos taurus (hybrid cattle), 413 nucleotides long. Lineage: Eukaryota; Metazoa; Chordata; Mammalia; Artiodactyla; Bovidae. The record is from Ensembl.
CUUCCCCAUCCACAUAUAAACAGGUCAUGGACUCCUGUCAAGUCUUCUUUGCCUGUAUUUCUUAAAUACAGUAUACAGUUUCUUCAGUACAGACCUAGUUCAGGUACCCACCUUCCACCAAGACCAGAGUUCCAGGUUCCAGCAUCUGUACAACCAAGGGUUCUAUUUUCAUCCAAAUGCCUUGACUGCUUGGGAGAGUCAAUUUUAGGAGAAGGAAAACUUCUCAUGAAGAUGCCAUGUAGUUGGUACAGGAUUUCUGAUUUGCAAAUCCUCUGAUGAUCAUGAGGCCCAUUUAUGGAGCCAUGGUGCUGGCUCAGGGAUGUAUUCCAGACAGAACUCAGACCUGCCAGAUACCCAACUAGCAAAGAGAGAUGAUGAGCUUUCUGGAGGUUUUAACCAAGGGCCUGGCUGAU